CUCCUACGGGAGGCAGCAGUGAGGAAUAUUGGUCAAUGGCCGAGAGGCUGAACCAGCCACGUCUCGUGCUUUAAGACGGCCCUACGGGUUGUAAACCUCUUUUGUCGGGGAGCAAAGCGAGUCACGUGUGACUCAUUGAGAGUACCCGAAGAAAAAGCAUCGGCUAACUCCGUGCCAGCAGCCGCGGUAAUACGGAGGAUGCGAGCGUUAUCCGGAUUUAUUGGGUUUAAAGGGUGCGCAGGCGGAGGUGCAAGUCAGCGGUCAGAUUGCGGGGCUCAACCCCGUACUGCCGUUGAAACUG
Molecule: ribosomal RNA, 301 nt
Filed under: uncultured bacterium
Lineage: Bacteria
Description: bacterial SSU rRNA
Rfam family: Bacterial small subunit ribosomal RNA
Source: RNAcentral